UACGUAGGGUGCGGGCGUUAUUCGGAAUUACUGGGCGUAAGGCGUGCGCAGGCGGCUAUAUAAGACAGAUGUGAAAUCCCCGGGCUCAACCUGGGAUCUGCAUUUGUGACUGUAUAGCUAGAGUACGGUAGAGGGGGAUGGAAUUCCGUGUGUAGCAGUGAAAUGCGUAGAUAUGCGGAGGAACACCGAUGGCGAAGGCAAUCCCCUGGACCUGUACUGACGCUCAUGCACGAAAGCGUGGGGAGCUAACAGG
Molecule: ribosomal RNA, 253 nt
Filed under: uncultured bacterium
Lineage: Bacteria
Description: partial 16S ribosomal RNA
Rfam family: Bacterial small subunit ribosomal RNA
Source: RNAcentral